This 323-nucleotide long non-coding RNA is filed under the name Mytilus galloprovincialis (Mediterranean mussel). Lineage: Eukaryota; Metazoa; Mollusca; Bivalvia; Mytilida; Mytilidae. The record is from RNAcentral.
UGUUCAUUUAAAUGAGUAGUUAUUGUUGCCAACUUAAUUAGAAAUUUGAAUUGAGAUUAUUUUUGGAAUAAGGGAUUGGGGGAGGUGAAAAAAAAUGGGGAGGGGUAGGGGGUAAAAAUUUUUCUCAUUUCAUAUUUCAGAAAUUAAAAAGAAUUUUUCUUCAAAUAUUUUUUUUUAGGAGAUUUAUAUUCAACAGCAUAGUGUAUUGUUCAAAAGCAAAAAAAAAUGUUUUUAAGUUCAUUAGACCACAUUCAUUCUGUGUCAGAAACCUUUACUGUGUCAACUAUUUAAUCACAAUCCAAAUUCAGAUCUGUAUCGAGCUU